UGCCAGCAGCCGCGGUAAUACGGAGGGUGCGAGCGUUAAUCGGAAUUACUGGGCGUAAAGCGCAUGCAGGUGGUGUGUUAAGUCAGAUGUGAAAGCCCGGGGCUCAACCUCGGAACCGCAUUUGAAACUGGCAUACUAGAGUACUGUAGAGGGGGGUAGAAUUUCAGGUGUAGCGGUGAAAUGCGUAGAGAUCUGAAGGAAUACCAGUGGCGAAGGCGGCCCCCUGGACAGAUACUGACACUCAGAUGCGAAAGCGUGGGGAGCAAACAGGAUUAGAAACCCCCGUAGUCC
RNAcentral lists this ribosomal RNA (291 nucleotides) under uncultured bacterium. RNAcentral's name for it is "partial 16S ribosomal RNA". It matches the Rfam family "Bacterial small subunit ribosomal RNA", at positions 506 to 796 of the family's 1533-position model. The record is from RNAcentral.